RNAcentral lists this unclassified non-coding RNA (323 nucleotides) under Hevea brasiliensis (rubber tree). Lineage: Eukaryota; Viridiplantae; Streptophyta; Magnoliopsida; Malpighiales; Euphorbiaceae. The record is from RNAcentral.
CUUUGGCAUGAUAUGUGGACUUCUUGGGAUGGAUAGUGAGACUUCUCAAAAAGCUUACAUUUUUAUCACAAUGAGGGAUGCAAUUUCUGCUGCAACAAGGCUGAAUUUGGUUGGACCUCUAGGUGCAGCUGUAUUGCAGCAUCAGCUGUGUCUUGUUGCUGAAACUGUAUUGAAAAAGUGGAUGGACCAUACAGUUGAGGAAGCGUGCCAAACAGCUCCUUUGCUUGAUACUCUACAGGGCUGCCAUAGCUAUUUGUUUUCUAGAUUGUUUUGCUCUUGAUAUCUCAGGUAAACGCAUACAUUCUUCAUAAAUGCUCAUUUUU